UUGAAAGGGAAACGAUUGAAGUCAGUCGUACCAGCGGGAAAUCAACCUUUCGAAUGGGGGUUUUGGAGUUUUUUGAAGAGUGUCAAAACCUUUGAGAUUUCAAAAUAUUCGCUCUUUUGGUGUACUUUCUCGUGGGUAGGUUAACAUCGAUUUUGAUCAUCAUAAAAAGAUUGGAGGAAUGUAGCUUCGAUCUUGUAUUGAAGUGUUAUAGCCUUUGGUAAAUGUGAUGAUUAGGAUCGAGGAUUGCAACGAAUACCCUUUUGGGCUAUCCGCCUGAUCUCUGAUACGUGGCCUUGGUAUCGAAAGCGUGCUUAUGGUAUUGAGGUAUUACGGUCAAAAGGUUAGAACGGAUUACAUUCGUUAAGGAUGUUGACGUA
RNAcentral lists this ribosomal RNA (377 nucleotides) under uncultured Glomeromycotina. RNAcentral's name for it is "LSU rRNA". The record is from RNAcentral. Lineage: Eukaryota; Fungi; Glomeromycota.